This 357-nucleotide ribosomal RNA is filed under the name uncultured bacterium. Its description in RNAcentral is "bacterial SSU rRNA". It matches the Rfam family "Bacterial small subunit ribosomal RNA", at positions 29 to 414 of the family's 1533-position model. The record is from RNAcentral.
AACGAACGCUGGCGGCAGGCCUAACACAUGCAAGUCGAGCGAACCCUUCGGGGUUAGCGGCGGACGGGUUAGUAACGCGUGGGAAUAUACCCUUUGGUACGGAAUAGCCUCGGGAAACUGAGAGUAAUACCGUAUGUGCCCUUCGGGGAAAGAUUAUCGCCAAAGGAUUAGCCCGCGUUGGAUUAGAUAGUUGGUGGGGUAAUGGCCUACCAAGUCUACGAUCCAUAGCUGGUUUGAGAGGAUGAUCAGCAACACUGGGACUGAGACACGGCCCAGACUCCUACGGGAGGCAGCAGUGGGGGAAUCUUAGACAAUGGGCGCAAGCCUGAUCUAGCCAUGCCGCGUGGACGAUGAAGG